This 493-nucleotide ribosomal RNA is filed under the name uncultured bacterium. RNAcentral's name for it is "partial 16S ribosomal RNA". It matches the Rfam family "Bacterial small subunit ribosomal RNA", at positions 29 to 507 of the family's 1533-position model. The record is from RNAcentral.
ACGAACGCUGGCGGCGUGCUUAACACAUGCAAGUCGAACGGAAAGGCCUGCUUUCCCUUGUGGAUUGCGGGUACUCGAGUGGCGAACGGGUGAGUAACACGUGAGUGAUCUGCCCCCAACUUGGGUAUAGGCCUGGGAAACUGGGUCUAAUUCCCGAUAGGACUGCAGGGUGGUGCCUGUGGUGGAAAACGAUUUUCUAGUGGUUGGGGAUGAGCUCGCGGCCUAUCAGCUUGUUGGUGGGGUAAUGGCCUACCAAGGCGGCGACGGGUAGCCGGCCUGAGAGGGUGGACGGCCACAUUGGGACUGAGAUACGGCCCAGACUCCUACGGGAGGCAGCAGUGGGGAAUAUUGCACAAUGGGCGGAAGCCUGAUGCAGCGACGCCGCGUGGGGGAUGACGGCCUUCGGGUUGUAAACUCCUUUCGACCGCGAGGAAGCCACCUGGUUGGAAGGGUGGUGACGGUAGUGGUAGAAGAAGCACCGGCUAACUACGUG